GGGUGGGAUAUAAGCAAGGGGAGAUUUGAAAUGAAGGUCAGAGACUGUGUACUGGAAAUACACAGUACUUUGGUAUGGGGACACAGCUUGUUGUUGUUGAUGACCUGAACAAGGUAACUCCUCCAAAAGUGACUGUGUUUCAGCCAUCCGAGGAAGAAAUUGAGGAGAAGGGAAAGGCCACACUGGUCUGUCUGGCCACAGGUUUCUACCCUGACCUUGUGAAGCUGAGCUGGUGGGUGAAUGGGCAGCAGACUCAAGUUGGGGUCAGCACAGACCCUCAGCCCUCCAAGGAGCAGCCUGAUAACGACUUCUCCAAGUACUCGAUGAGCAGCCGCCUCCGGGUUUCUGCUCCCUUCUGGCGCAAUCCCAAGAACAGUUUCCGUUGCCAAGUAUUGUUCCAUGGGAUCUCAGAGGAUGAGCCCUGGACCGGUAACACAAGCAAACCCAUCACCCAGAAUGUCAGUGACCAGAUCUGGGGAAAGGCAGAUUGUGGUGUUACCUCUGAGUCCUAUCAACAAAGUAUCCAGUCUGCCACCUUCUUCUACGAGAUCCUACUGGGGAAAGCCAUGCUGUAUGGCCUGCUGGUCAGUGCUCUGCUGUGGAGAACCAUGGCCAAGAAAAAACAUUCCUGAGGCCACUUGUGGAGAUAACAACAGGGAGGAGAGAGCAGGAGAAUUCAGCACCCAUCUUGGUUACUGCUUUCCCUAUUCCUAUCCUGUGUUCCAGAAGAACUAUUAUUUCCUCGGUUCCCAUCUUCAUCUUUUACAGGUCUCCUCAAAAAGAACUCUGAAGCUCACAGAGAAGAAGAAUGGUGGCUUAAUCCUGAAGAAAUAAAAAAGGUCUUGCCCUGCUUAGCUGUUACCAA
Non-coding RNA from Vombatus ursinus (common wombat), 865 nucleotides. Lineage: Eukaryota; Metazoa; Chordata; Mammalia; Diprotodontia; Vombatidae. The record is from the annotation of a RefSeq genome assembly.